Molecule: long non-coding RNA, 636 nt
Organism: Microplitis demolitor
Lineage: Eukaryota; Metazoa; Arthropoda; Insecta; Hymenoptera; Braconidae
Exons: 3
Source: RefSeq, a predicted model, not a curated record
AGCUAGGGUGUUUUAAAUAAAAAACUAAAUACAAAGAAUUGAUUUAUAAAUAUUUUAUUAAUCAAUAUGCGUCUUGAAUGGCUGCAAUGGAAUUCCGAGGGAAAUGAUUUCUUCGUCAAUCAUCGAUUUCAAGUUUGGAAAGUAAUGGAAAACAGCUUCCCAACAAAUGUAUGUGAGUUUGGGAAUCCUGAUCCAAGUCAUAAUCAGGAGUCUGUUCAUAAAAUAAAAACAAUUUCCUAGUAGGAGAAAUGGUGAUUGAAUGAUACUCAAUGCGACGAGGAUAUCUCGGCAAUGGCGACCUCAGUAAGAUGAAUGGACCGUAUAACUCGAAAAUUAAUUGUUAAAAUUUUUAACUCAUUUUCACCCUACCUGAAACGGAAGUGCAAAUUACUGCCUUGUUUGGAGGGAAGAUAGUCCUCCUUUUCUCUGCUGAGAAAAAGGAAAUGAUAGAAAUUAACGCAUGCGCAAUUCUUCAGACAGAGGGAAAAAUUUAAACUUUCCGAUACAGAUCCGGUGAAAUAGUGAAUUGUGUGAUUAGGAACUAAAAAAAACGAUUUAAGAUCUGGAUGAAGAAUACGUAAGAAAAAUAGUAAUUAUAGAAAAAAAAAGAUAAUUUUUAAUAUAAAUAAAAAAAAA